GUUGGUGAUGGAUAAAAUGGUGUUAAGGGACAGCAGAACUCUCAGGUGCUAAGAGCAAAGCCCAAAAGAGACAGAGGUGGAUCCUAGCUUGUCUUCCUCCUGUGAGAAUGGCAACAGACUCCACAGUUUCAGUGUCAGAAGAGACAGAUAUUUCCUAUUGAUCAGCACUGUUUUCAGACAUGGGGGGCUGUUUUCACCUUCAAGCAAAUAGAAAGACAGACCGGAAGGGGCUGCUAAAUGUGAAGAAAAAAGCACUAACUUCCUGCAGAACCAUCAGUUUGUCAGUUUGGAAAAGAGGUAAUUUUGCCUGAAUCUAUCCAAAUAGCCUGAAAAGGUACUUUAUACUCUGACAUUCUCUUGUUCUAAUUCAUUCAGUUGACCUAGGAAAUAUAAUAAAGAAACCAGUCAAGGAUGCCUUCCUUUGUAA
Molecule: long non-coding RNA, 427 nt
Filed under: Anas platyrhynchos platyrhynchos (common mallard)
Lineage: Eukaryota; Metazoa; Chordata; Aves; Anseriformes; Anatidae
Description: lncRNA (ENSAPLG00000017815.1)
Source: RNAcentral